AAAGCAAGGGGAGGGUGAGGCUCCGGUCUGAGGGUAAACACAUCCAUGAUGUGGGAGCAGGAAGAUGUCUUUGCAGGCUGGUGUCUAGGACUAUAGCCUCACAGGGUCACCAUGCCCCAUUAUGACCCAGAGGGGCCCAGAGCAAGGAAGGCAUGACAAAGGAGCCUGAAGACUUGAGGAGGCCUUGGAGCUGGGACAAGGAAGACACAUCAGGGAUCUACACGGACAGGAAACUACAGAGCAGAGACAACACUGAAAAGACCAGACACCAUAAUACAGAAAGAGGUGCCAUCUUGGAAGCAGAGAGGCCUUCACUAGACAUCAAAUUUGCAAGUGCAUCAAUCCUGAACUUCCCAGUCUCCAUAACUAUGAAAAGGAAACAGAAGUUGACGGGAAACUUGGAGUUGGGAAAGAAGAGGAGGCCAAGAAGUAUAACAGGUAGUAGAGUGGCUUUAGAGCCAGAUGAGGAAUUCAGAUUCUAGUCUCGAGGUAGAAAAGAAGCAGUAUAAAAUCCAAGGCCAAGAAAUGAGACAUGGAAAAUUAUGUGUGGAAGCAGUUAUCCUAGAUGCUUUUUUGAGACUGUUUUGUGAAGAUAGCCUGAAGGAAGGGUGGCCUAUUCCAGUGGUUCAGAAAGGAGAUAAGGGGCCACUUGGUUCACUGUAAGCCCUUGAAAAUAAAGAAAAGAAACAGGCUGAAUCAAAAGAUAUUAUUGGGUGAGAACUGCCAGAGUUUAGUGACUGACUGAAUGGUAAUGAAGGGCAAAAGAAGAAAAGAUGUAAAAAUGGUCCUGGUGCUGGGACCUCAGGAAAGGGUCCCAUAGACAGCAAUUGAAAAAGAAAACUGAUGGCUAGAGCAGAAAAUGUGCUGGUCAGUGGUAGAGCAUCCAAAUGAGUAGGGGUAUAUGCAUGUGAGUGCAUGUGUGUUACUAUAGGCACACAGAUUUAGGAGUAAUGUCUCCUUUGCCCUAAUGUUAUGUAAGAGCUUACAAUUUUCUUUCAAUUAAAAUCUUUAUUUCAAGUAUUUAUCAAGUGCCUACUAGGUGUAAAGUUUACAGUAAGACUAUGUGCAAGGUUUACAAUAAGGAAAUAUAAGUUAUAUUACUGAACAGAAACUAGUUUAAACUUUAAUGCAACAUUAUUUAAAGAGUGUACUUUCAUUUUUGUAUUAAUUUUCUAUUAUUUGUAAUUCUUAGGCCACAAACAUAACAGUGCCUUCAUUAGUGCUAGAUAUGCCACCUUGACAGAAUUUAAAAUGAACUAAUUUUUCUUAGUGUACUUGAAUAUCUUCUUUUUCUUAAAUAGUGGCUAUGCAUUUGGAUGAAGCCAUUGAAUAAGACAGAUUUUGGCUUAAACUUCCACUCAGAUCAGUCCUGAGAGUAGGCCAUGUGGUUUGGUUCUCUGUAAGGGACACAUGUGCAUGUGCAUUUCUCUGCCUCGCUCAGAUUAGCCUUAUGGCCAUGGUAUCAGAACUGUAAAUAGUUAUACCGUGGAUUCUUUCUUGUUUGUGGGUGAGAGGAGAAAGGAAAACUCACACUUAUUUCAACAAAGCACCAUGUAGACAUUCAACUGCAGUGGGCUCUGUUCAUCCUCAGUUUAGGUGUGAUGAAACCUGCAGGGAAUUGACCUUCAGUACAGACCUUUUACACUGUCUCAUUUCUCUCAUGUAACUUCUCUAAGGAUCUGAAGAGACCUAAGAGAUCAGUUAGUCUCAGAAUUAAGUUCAUCUACAGGUGCAUCAAAAGGAUGUCAGGUUUUAAAAACACGACAUACUAUUUCUUUUGUUUUUCUUUUCUUUCUUUUUUUUCUGUGAGACAGUUUCACUGUGUCACCCAGGCUCAUGCCUCAGCCUCCCAAGUAACUGUGAUUACAGGUGUGCACCACCAUGCCCAGCUAAUGUUUGUAUUUUUAGUAGAGACAGGGCUUUGCCAUGUUGGCCAGGCUGGUCUCAAACUCCAGACCUCAAGUGAUCCUCCUGCCUUGGCCUCCUAAAGUGCUGGGAUUACAGGUGUAAGCCUCUGUGCUCAGCCUAUGACUGGACUAUUUAUUAAACUUUAAUAUAAAGCAAAGGUUGCAUAGACAAUAGAUGUAGGCAGCUCAUUUCUUAAUAAUUAUUAAGAACUGAAAACUCACAUUGAAGAAAACUAGUCAUGAAUAAGAAAAUAACUUCUUCACAGUGGUUAAAGAAAAAAGGCACCAAAAGAAAUAAACAAACAUAUGAAAGCCUCUUACUAUACUAAGGUAUUACUAUAUUUAUUUCUGACCUUUGGCUACUGAGAAAAUAUGAAAGAUGACAAUUCUAUAGCUAUUCUAUAUAAUGGCAGAUGCUCCUCUUAUUCCAGAAAAGAAAAUCCUUUUAUAAUAUUUCACUAAAUAGCUAAUCAAAGAGUAUUUUACGUGCUCAUUUCAGAUAGUCUCAUUCACUUGUCUUUAUAAGUUUAAAUGAGUUCUUUUCUUAAGCAGGCUACCUUGUGUAUCAUUUAUGAUAAAAUACUUUCUUUAAGUUAGAGUCAGUGUUAAUUUUGUACUAUAUGACUUAGUAGAGUGGGACAAUUACAUCUAACACUUCUUCUAUCAGCCUUGUGUUUCUAUGUUCUAUACUAAGAUAUUAUCAAAGUAAUAGCAAAAUCCUGUUAAAUGUUCAAUGUAUAUCUUUACUGCUAAUUGUUUUUUCAGCAUAGUAAUAUUACUGGUACCACAGCAACACCUCAUAUCUUGAAUCUAUGCAGUACAAUUCAUUCUCUACGAUAGCAUUAUUUUCUUUUUGUAAACAGAAAUUUGGCUUUAACACUGCAAUUUUCACCGAACUAUACAAGUGCUAAUGAUGCCCAGUUUAGGACAUAAACAAUUUACUACUGUCCUUCUUUGAGCCUUUCUCUUUUUUCACUUCUCUAAUCAUCACACUAAGGAUAUUAUUUUCUAGAAAGCUAUGGGCAGAGUCCAUUUCACAAUGGGUUACAAGUUGACCCUUUUUCUUUUAAAACUCAUGCUAUUAAUAGACUUUUGGUGACUCUGUCAGUUAAGAAGUAUACCUUGUACCUGACAUUUUUCUUGUCUAAGCAACUGGCCCCAACUAACUCAUUUUUAAUAUUUUGCUUUUCUGCUUACUCACUUUUCCUUCCAUAAAAUAUUUUUUCUAGUUCUAUAGAACUAUAAUUUCUUUAAUUAUUUUUCCUUCCCUUAUCAAAUUCCAUCUCAUUUUUCUUAUGUAAUUAAAAUAUUUCCUCAGUACAUUUUGGGUAAGUGGCCAGUUGUAUUUACAUCACUUUUUCCAUAGAUUGGUUGAUGAUGUGCUUAGAUUAUAUAUGAUGAUGUGCAUAGAGUAUAUACACUAGCCAAGCUGAUCCCCAUUCACUGUGGAUAGGCUGAAGUCCAAAUUGCAAGUUGAUCUGUCAACAGCUUUGAGUAAGCCUGACGCCAGACAAAACUUUAAUUCUUUAGUGAUAUUUCUUCUUCACUUAAGGAGGAAGCCUUGAAGAUGGUAAGUUAAUAAGUGCAUUGUUUUAGCUUUCUAAAUAAUGCUUUUUGAGGGGUUGUUUUAAAGAUUCUCAUUUACUCUUUUCAAAGAAAGUUAUAGUUUCUCAUUUUCUGGUUCCUUUCUUGAUAUCUUUAUUUUAUUUCAGUGUGUGGAUUUGCUCUACUUUAAAAAACUCAUAACUUAUUGGUUAUUUUACAGAUGCCAAGAUAUAGCUUGUUUGUUUGUUUUUUUGAGACAGGGUCUCAGUCUGUCACCCACACUGGAGUGCAGUGGCGUAAUCUCUGCUCACUGCAAUCUUAGCCUCCCUGGUUCAAGCAAUUCUUGUGCCUCAGCCUCCCAAGUAGCUGUGGUUACAGCUGAAGUUCUCUAAGUCAUGAAGAGAGAAGAUAUCAAAGAGUAGGAAAUCUAGCCCCAAAAGAUCACAAAAUCAAGGACAGUGACACCUUCCUAAGCUUUUUAUUUGAUUCUUCCUGUUUAUUUGUUUACUUUCCUUAGUCAUUCACUAAUCGGUUCUGCUUUAGAACCAUUAAAAUAAUACAAAAGUUACAGAAACUUGGUAAAAUAUUUCUUUGGCCUAUUUCCAAACCACCCAAAAUUAAUGGGAAAUGGUUAAAGUCAAAAAAGCUUUUUCUCUGACAUGGAUUUCUAAACAAUAUAAUUAUGGUUCACUCCAUGGUUAUGAGCUUUGGGAGCUCCCACAAAAAAGUCUUUGCUACAGAUGUGGCCACUGGCUGCUAUACCAGGCAAUUUGAUUCAUGUUUGCUGUUGUUAAAAAAAUACAUAAAACUCUCUUAUGUUGGAUUAAGAGGCUUUUAAGAGGAAGCUAGACACAAAGGCCAGGUCUCUCUCUAUUUGCUCAUUCAUGACAAAGGUAGAAGCUUCGAAUUUGUGAUACAUGUGAAGAAUGUGUGACAUUUUUGCCUUCAGAAUUAUUUUUUCCAUCAUUUUAUUUUAUAUAAACACUCAAAAAAUAAGUCCAAACUAAACUAGUGAUGCUUGGUCACUCCAAGAAGUAUCCUCAAUAUAGCUUAACAAAUUUACCCUUUUCUCUUCAAAUCCAUAUUUAUUUUCUGAGACAGUUACAUGAAGUUUUGCCAAGAAAGUAACUGGGAGCAAUAACUUUUGUUUAACUGGGCUUUUAGAUUUGAGAAGCAAUCCAAUCCAAGACUGCGCAGGAAGACUUCCACAGCAAUUGGAUACUAGUGACAUACAAGGACCUUAAGAACUCCACAAUUUUAUACUCUGUAUAAAUGUAUGAUGUGGUACCUAAGAGUGUCUUUCUAAAGGCAACCAAGGACCUCUUCAGUGAAAUAUUGAAGGCAAGGGAUGCCUGAAAUGAUUAAAAGAAACAAAGCUUUCCCAUAGCACAUGUCCUUUUCUUUGUAAGGAGAUGAGGUAAUAUAUAAUCUUCCCAUGUUACUACCACAAGGGCAAUUUGUGGGAGGGAGAGAUGGAUUUCUGGGAGUGAAAUUCAACUGCAUAGCAAGGGCUAUUUUUGGAAAGGCUUAUCUUCAACAUCCUCAUUUCAGAAUUGGUCUCUUUGCUCAGAGCAAUACCUUGGGCAACACUGAGAACUCCCAUCUCUAAGGUAAGAACAAAAGUUAUUUCUUCAUUGAUGGAAUAUCUGAUGAAGAAAAAGGAAGACAAAAAAACAAUAAAUUAUUCUCAUAAAAGGUGAUGCAUAUGAAUAAAUGUCAAACCCUUCUGCUAUUUCUCAUGUGGCUUGUACACAAGACUUCUAUUUGAUCUUUGGCUCUGCAGUUUUUACCACUAGAUGACCCAAAUGUGUAAUCUGGAUAGGCAGCUAGUUUGCUUAUAUAUAAAUUAAAUGGCUUCAAGUGUCAACAGUCCUCUGUAUCUUUUUAAUAUCCCACAAAUUGCUUCAAUUAGGAACAGCUACAAAGAACCUUACCAUAGGACAUGGAAUUCACACUUGCCAAAGAAAUCACUGCACGUGUAAAUUAGAAACUAAUCAUUACUUCCUCUCUGGAUAUAGUGGCAGGUUUGCCUCAUAGUUUAUGUUGAAAUAUACAUUUUUAUGAAAUAUUUCUCACUGCAGUCAGCAUCAAUUUAGGAGUAUCAAACACUGAUUCCCAGUCCUGGCACGCCAGAAAACUAGAAGUGCAGACAAAGGGAACUGACAAAGGCCUGGACUUUUCUUAUACUUGAAGAAGCUAAUUGUAUUUGUAAAUUUCUGGCUAAAAACCUGACAAUUAUCAGAUCUGCCACUGCAAGGCUAUUCCUCAAUUUCUUCAGCACAUAUUUUUCCCUGAAGUCUCUCAGAGAAGUAAUGGGCUUUCAGAGAUGAAAAUGAACUUGACAAUCACGCUGCAACUCAAACUGAUCUUGAUUCUUUUCGUCACUUUUUAAUUCAUUGCAGAUGGUGUAAAUGGGAUGUUUACUGGGUGGCAAGUAAUGAGUCUUGUUGUAGAUAAUAGUGAUGGACAGAAUCUCACACCUGUCAACAUCCCAGCAUCUCAGCAGCUAUAUAUGGUUAUCACCCAUUGCUUUGAAGCACAUGUAAUAUUGUGACAGGAUGCACAAUGUUUCUCCCACAGAAACGAUGGUUGAUACACCUGAAUCUCACUAGUUCACAUAUCAAUUGUCCUGAUUCCAUCCUCACUGUCCACAUGAGUAGACAUUCUAAGAUGUGUUCUAAUGGAAAAUGUAAUCUGUUUAAACAUCCAGACACUCCUCUUCUAAGGUACCACCAUUUAUCACAACUGUCAGUGCUUCUGUGGAAGAGUAAUGACCCUCAAGCAUGGGAUAAUGCUCCAUAGGGACCUUAUGAAUGCCACUGCCAAGCACAGAAAUUGAUUGGUUUUCAGUGGAGCUGGUAUGUGCAUCAUCAAAGACCUGCACUUACUCGCUAAAUUACAAGUGGCUGUUUACCCCUUACACAGUAAAGCCUAGGUUAGGAAGCAACAGAGGCUGCUGACUUUAAUUGUCCCAAACAUGUGAGUACUAGGUUAGGACCCACCAUUGAAAUGGACUUAAGCAGCUUGAACCUGGAAGUUGGAUCAGAGUCAUUAAAAAAUUCAUUGGGAGAUAACAUAGAUAUUGUUGCCUUCCCCUCUUUUUUUCUUUUUUUAAAUCUUCUCUAUCAAUGGAAGAUAAUAACAUCCCAUGAACCACCAUUAGCAAUUAAAAACUAAACAGAAUAAGCAUGCCAGUGAAAAGUUAACUAUUUGCUUCCUUCUUGUAAGCUUCCCUUCAUCCAGAAGAAGAUCUGGUUCUGGAUCUGUUCAUAUAUUGCUUCUCAAAGUAGAACAAAAGAUGAACAGUUAUGUGGUAUGAACUCAUGAUUUUCAAGUCUCUCCAGUGGGUCUACUUCCUCAUUGAUCAUUUCCUUGAAGUCCUCCAUACCUUGCCAAUCUUAUCUACAAUUUCUAUCAAAUUGCCUUAGAAGACAGGAUCACUUGCACUCUACAGACUGUUUACAUCUCAGUAUAUGCCCUAUCGCUAUCAAAGUUUCAUCUAAGACACAUCUGUUCCUCAGUGCUUGGACAUCCUGAAGAUACCCUUCAGGAUGUAGCAUUCAUAUGAAGUCACAAAAUACCAGUUGAUCUUUCUAUGGUAAUUGUUUUCCAAUCUGUAUGAACUGAAUGGCUCAACUAAAUAAAUGAAGAAAAUGAAAUAUUUUACUCAGUGAUUCAUUCCAUAUUUAAGAUAAUACACUAAGUAAUGAAUGGCCCUGUGGAAUCAUUAUAGUUAUGAGCAUCUUUUCCACUUGAGAGUUCUCUGUUCCCCUCACAGUUGAGAGUUUUUAUGCCCAAAUUAACUAUACAUUUGGUAUUCACAAUAUUCUGAUUAUUAGUUUCUCCAAAGAUGGGACUUAGGCACUUUCCUGACAAGAGAAGCUUACAAUUAGAUGCAUCUUAAUAAUUAAUAAAAUUAAUGAGAUAAUGAAAUUGGAAGAUCUCAGUAUUCUGCUGAGGAUGAAGAAAUCUUUUUGAGAAUUAGUAAUGUUCAGCCGGGCGUGGUGGCUCACAGCUGUAAUCCCAGAACUUGGGGAGGCUGAGGCAGGCGGAUCACAAGGUUCAAAGUUUGAGACCAGUCUGGCCAACAUGGUGAAACCCAGUCUCUACUAAAAUACAAAAAAUUUGCUGGGCGAUGCCUGUAGUCCCAGCUAUUCAGGAGGCUGGGGCAGGGGAAUCACUUGAACCCGGGAGACAGAGGUUGCAGUGAGCCGAGAUUGUGCCUCUGCACUCUAGCCUGGUGACAGAGCAAGAUUUCAUCUCAAAAAAACAAGAGAGAGAAUUAGGAAUGUUCCAAAAGACAAUAAACACAAUCAGACAGUGAACUGAGCAAAAUGUCCUUUGAUGUAAAGUGUCAGCUAGAAAUGUCAAUCCAAUUCAAGACUGCAUACAAAGGGACAUUGUGUCUUUGAGCUAAAGGUAUUAAGUUACCUGAUUAUCUUCUCCGGAAGAAUGCGUUAUGGUUUGGACACUUUUAUUACCUGAAAGAUGUAGACAAAUUAGGGAAGAUUAACAACCAGGUUUAUUAGUAAGUAGCAGAUGAGCUGGUGUGAAUGGUACUGGUUGUCAGGCGUUCUGUAUUCUCUUCUCAGCUUUGAUAUGCGCUCAUGCAGGAAUAGUCAUUCUUGAAAUUUAGAUAGGAUAAUUUAUAUUCUUUUCACCAGAGAAAAGACAGUUUGGGAAUGAAAGGGAGGGGAAGUGUUUAAAACAGCAUAAGGACCUGAGGUAACAGAAAGGUCAGAAAUUCUAUUACAGACUUUUUCAACUCUCAUUUAAAAAACACAACCAACAACAACCAGUUGUUAAGCCUUUAUUUGAAUAAGCUCAGUACAUUUAGUAUUUGCAGUAUGUUUUUAAUAUAUAGUACUUAAUUGUUUUUGGUCUACAAAAUAAGGCUAUUUCAUGAUACUAUAUUAUUAUGUUCAUGUUUCCCUGGAAAUAUAAUUUGCAAGGUCAUUCUAGGAACUCUGAUUAUGAAAUUCAACAUCACUUUAAGUGAGUUAUCCUGAACUCUAAUGCAGUUUCUUGUCUCUUCAUAUUUACCCUGGAGCUAUAACCUAUAGUCUUACAGAAAUGCCCUUUUGGAAGAGGCUCCUACUCUUGGCCUUCUGAAUGACUGUCUAGAUAUAUUUUCAUCUAUAAUUGCAUACUACACCAAAUUUGCAUUAUAUAUAAAUGUCAUUGAGAAAUGAUUAAUAUAAUUUUUUAGUUUAUUAGUGAAAAUAGGUGGGCCAUAAGCUAAAAAUAAACCAUUAUUUUUACACAUGGCAUUCCUAGUUGUAUUUAUUACAAUUUACCAUUUACUAAAGUAUUUCAAUUGGUUAACAAGGAAUAAUAGAACUAAACUUCUUUCAAGCAAUAUUGGUGACUCACUAUAACCCUAAUAAAAUAAUAUAUUCCCUCAGACUUAAUCUUUUAGUUCUAUUGGGAAACACCUAUAAACCAAAGAGAAUUUCUUCCUUUUCUGAUGUUCAUUCAAAUUACAUUACCUAUUUCCACCAUUCAGUAUGGUAAUUUCUGGGAACUACCUUGACGGAUGGAUAGUGGUAAAGAAGCAAACAUUUAAAUCUAAUUUAAAGGGACAGAAGAAGGUUAUAGGUAACCUGUGAUCUUAGGCAGUUUUCAGGAAACAGAGGAAUCACAGUUGUGAUGAAUCUUAAUAAAACUGGCCCAUAGUCCCAAUAAUUCCCUUACCUAUUGAGAUUCCUGGUUGCUAAGGGCUUUAUCAGUUACUUCAACAAUCCUCCUUCUCUGAAAAUAACAGUACCUCAUUGUGAACAACACUAGAUUGUACUCACAAUUCCUUUUCCCUUUCUUUUCAGAAAGAACAAUUUAGACCCCUAAAUAAUACUAUAAAUGGCUAAAGACAUAGGACAUGCUAAACCUCAUGAAUCAGUUUCUGUUCUCUUGGCUGCUCAACAAAAGACAUUGCAAAUUCUUCAUGAGGCAAUGUAUUACACUGCCGUGAGAUUACUUUUUGUCUUCAACUUUCGACAUUUCUUAAGCAUUAAUUGGGAUUACUUUCUUUUUGCUCCUCUACAACCCAUUCUCUACACAGAAACUACAGUGAUUUCUUUCAAUGUGAGAUGAGAUUCUACUACGUAAAUCAUCAAUGGCUGCUUACUGUGACUAGAAUAAAAUUCAAGCUUCUCAUUCUGCAGUCUAUGUAGUCUGGUUCCAGAUUCCUUCUCUGAACACAUCUCCAAGAUACUUUUCCUCAUUCACUGACCUAUUAUAAUUCACAUGCCUAGCUCACUUGAGCCUUAGGGCCUUUGAAAUUGCUAUUCCAAUUUGCCUGAAAUGAUUUCCCUUCAUUUCAUUGAAUGAUUUCCCUUCGAUGAUGUCUGGUUUCUAACAUCAUUCAGGUCUCAACCAAAUGCCAUCUCCUUAAAUGCUAUCUGUAUGAGGUUUUACUCUUAUUUUCUUCACUUCACUCUUCAUUGUAUGUUAGCAAGUUUACAUAUUUAUUAACUAUCUCCCCUAAGUAGAAUGUUCUAGGACCUCGUGAGCUCUGAUCACUACUGUAUCUCCAGUAUCUGGAACAGUAGGUGCUCAACAAAUACUUGCUGAAUGAAUGAAUAAAUUAAUGACCAAACAGUAAAUAAAUAAGUAGUAAACAAAGCCAAUAUCAGUGCUCUUUAUUAUAGUAGUCACUUAAUUGUACCUCAAAAUGCUCUAAAAAUAAAUAUGUACUUUCCCUGAAUAUUAGGAUUAAAAAUACUCAGUUUAUUAAUUAAAAGCCAGGACUUCAAUUUACAUUAAUGACUGGUCCAAGAUCACACGGUAAAUAUAUAUUGCACAAUUCUAGUCUAAAAUCUUGUCAGCCCAAUCAGUCCUAGAGUGAUUUUCUUAGAACACAAUUGUGAACUAGGGAUAAUCUAAGGUCCACCAACAGGCUUAAGGGGGUUUAUGAAUCCUUUGAAAAGUUAUUGCAUCCUUUUUUGGGAAGAGGGUCCAUAGCUUUUAUCAUCUUAUCAAUGGAAGCCAUAAACUAUAAGAGGCUGGGAAUCUCUUUAAGCAAUACCAUUCCAAAACAAAUUAUUCUUAAUCCUCCGUAGGUAGAUUGGAAAGGCUACUGCCUUCAACAUUUUCUGUAGAGAAGGAACACCUAUGAAACUCCUAUCCCUUGCUGAGUAGACAUAUUCUCCUUUCUAGCACCAAGUCUGGGGCAUGGUGGGCCUCCCAGGUUGACUAUCCCUUCUUGGAGCUCAUGGGGAAAGGAUGUCUGGUACAAUGAAGAUGAGAAGGUAUCAUUCUAAUCAUGUUUUUGAUUAAAGGAAAGCCACUGUGCUCUUAGAUUGUGUUUGUAGCAUUUUUAGUUUAAUUUCAGGGAUGUUAUUGUAGCUGUGAAACUAGAUAAUAAUAAGAAAAAACUAAUUCCUAGGUACCAGAAAGUCAACAUGAAAAAAUAUAUAAUUCUAAAUGUAGGUCAAAUUUUAUAUUUAUCAGCAUUGAUCUAGUGCUAUU
Molecule: non-coding RNA, 10919 nt
Organism: Callithrix jacchus (white-tufted-ear marmoset)
Lineage: Eukaryota; Metazoa; Chordata; Mammalia; Primates; Cebidae
Source: RefSeq, a predicted model, not a curated record